This 73-nucleotide transfer RNA is filed under the name Salipiger mucosus DSM 16094. It matches the Rfam family "tRNA". From Rfam's summary of the family: Transfer RNA (tRNA) molecules are approximately 80 nucleotides in length. Their secondary structure includes four short double-helical elements and three loops (D, anti-codon, and T loops). Further hydrogen bonds mediate the characteristic L-shaped molecular structure. tRNAs have two regions of fundamental functional importance: the anti-codon, which is responsible for specific mRNA codon recognition, and the 3' end, to which the tRNAs corresponding amino acid is attached (by aminoacyl-tRNA synthetases). tRNAs cope with the degeneracy of the genetic code in two manners: having more than one tRNA (with a specific anti-codon) for a particular amino acid; and 'wobble' base-pairing, i.e. permitting non-standard base-pairing at the 3rd anti-codon position. Lineage: Bacteria; Pseudomonadati; Pseudomonadota; Alphaproteobacteria; Rhodobacterales; Roseobacteraceae. The record is from Rfam by way of RNAcentral.
GGGACCUUAGCUCAGUUGGUAGAGCGCUUCGUUUACACCGAAGAUGUCGACAGUUCGAGCCUGUCAGGUCCUA